RNAcentral lists this ribosomal RNA (318 nucleotides) under Clostridioides difficile. Its description in RNAcentral is "partial 23S ribosomal RNA". It matches the Rfam family "Bacterial large subunit ribosomal RNA", at positions 1632 to 1961 of the family's 2925-position model. Lineage: Bacteria; Bacillati; Bacillota; Clostridia; Peptostreptococcales; Peptostreptococcaceae. The record is from RNAcentral.
UUAAAGGUACCCGUACCGCAAACCGACACAGGUGGGUGAGGAGAGUAUCCUAAGGCCCGCGAGAGAACUGUUGUUAAGGAACUCGGCAAAAUGACCCCGUAACUUAGGGAUAAGGGGUGCCACCAUCCGGUGGCCGCAGAGAAUAGGCCCAAGCGACUGUUUACCAACAACAUAGGUUUCUGCUAAGUCGCAAGACGAUGUAUAGGAGCUGACGCCUGCCCGGUGCUGGAAGGUUAAGGGGAUCUGUUAGAGCAAUCGAAGCAGUGAACUUAAGCCCCAGUAAACGGCGGCCGUAACUAUAACGGUCCUAAGGUAGCG